AUUGAACGCUGGCGGCAGGCCUAACACAUGCAAGUCGAGCGGAUGAAGGGAGCUUUCUCCUGGAUUCAGCUGCGGACGGGUGAGUAAUGCCUAGGAAUCUGCCUGGUAGUGGGGGAUAACGUCCGGAAACGGGCGCUAAUACCGCAUACGUCCUGAUGGUGAAAGUGGUGGAUCUUUGGACCUCACGCUAUCUGAUGAGCCUAGGUCGGAUUAGCUAGUUGGUGGGGUAAAGGCCUACCAAGGCGACGAUCCGUAACUGGUCUGAGAGGAUGAUCAGUCACACUGGAACUGAGACACGGUCCAGACUCCUACGGGAGGCAGCAGUGGGGAAUCUUGGGCAAUGGGCGAAAGCCUGAUCCAGCCAUGCCGCGUGUGUGAAGAAGGUCUUCGGAUUGUAAAGCUCUUUAAGUUGGGAGGAAGGGCAGUAAGUUAAUACCUUGCUGUUUUGACGUUACCAACAGAAUAAGCACCGGCUAACUUCGUG
Molecule: ribosomal RNA, 484 nt
Filed under: uncultured bacterium
Lineage: Bacteria
Description: partial 16S ribosomal RNA
Rfam family: Bacterial small subunit ribosomal RNA
Source: RNAcentral